GAUAAACGCUGGCGGCGCACAUAAGACAUGCAAGUCGAACGGACUUAACCCUUUGUUUACAUUGGGAGCGGUUAGUGGCGGACUGGUGAGUAACACGUAAGCAACCUGCCUAUCAGAGGGGAAUAACAGUGAGAAAUCAUUGCUAAUACCGCAUAUGCUAACAGUAUCGCAUGAUACAGUUAGGAAAGGAGCAAUCCACUGGUAGAUGGGCUUGCGUCUGAUUAGCUAGUUGGUGGGGUAAUGGCCUACCAAGGCGACGAUCAGUAGCCGGACUGAGAGGUUGAACGGCCACAUUGGGACUGAGAUACGGCCCAG
This 315-nucleotide ribosomal RNA is filed under the name uncultured bacterium. RNAcentral's name for it is "bacterial SSU rRNA". It matches the Rfam family "Bacterial small subunit ribosomal RNA", at positions 28 to 334 of the family's 1533-position model. The record is from RNAcentral.